GAGUUUGAUCCUGGCUCAGGAUGAAAAAUGGCGGCGUGCUUAACACAUGCAAGUCGAACGGGGUACCCCCAAAGGAGUUUUCGGACAACUGCGGGGAAUACCUAUUGGCGGACGGGUGAGUAACGCGUGAGUAACCUGCCUUGGAGUGGGGAAUAACAGCUGGAAACAGCUGCUAAUACCGCAUAAUGCAGUUGGGUCGCAUGGCUCUGACUGCCAAAGAUUUAUCGCUCUGAGAUGGACUCGCGUCUGAUUAGCUAGUUGGUGGGGCAACGGCCCACCAAGGCGACGAUCAGUAGCCGGACUGAAAGGUUGGCCGGCCACAUUGGGACUGAGACACGGCCCACACUCCUACGGGAGGCAGCAGUGGGGAAUAUUGGGCAAUGGGCGCAAGCCUGACCCAACAACGCCGCGUGAAGGAAGAAGGCUUUCGGGUUGUAAACUUCUUUUCUCAGGGACGAAGCAAGUGACGGUACCUGACGAAUAAGCCACGGCUAACUACGUGCCAACAUCCGCGGUAAUACCUAGGUGGCAAGCGUUAUCCGGAUUUACUGGGUGUAAAGGGCGUGUAGGCGGGAAAGCAAGUCAGAUGUGAAAACCAUGGGCUCAACCUGUGGCCUGCCAUUUGAAACUGUUUUUCUUGAAUACUGGAGAGGCAUACGGAAUUCC
Molecule: ribosomal RNA, 666 nt
Filed under: uncultured bacterium
Lineage: Bacteria
Description: bacterial SSU rRNA
Rfam family: Bacterial small subunit ribosomal RNA
Source: RNAcentral